GUGGGGAAUAUUGGACAAUGGGCGCAAGCCUGAUCCAGCCAUGCCGCGUGAGUGAUGAAGGCCUUAGGGUUGUAAAGCUCUUUCACCGAUGAAGAUAAUGACGGUAGUCGGAGAAGAAGCCCCGGCUAACUUCGUGCCAGCAGCCGCGGUAAUACGAAGGGGGCUAGCGUUGUUCGGAAUUACUGGGCGUAAAGCGCACGUAGGCGGAUAUUUAAGUCAGGGGUGAAAUCCCGCAGCUCAACUGCGGAACUGCCUUUGAUACUGGGUAUCUUGAGUAUGGAAGAGGUAAGUGGAAUUCCGAGUGUAGAGGUGAAAUUCGUAGAUAUUCGGAGGAACACCAGUGGCGAAGGCGGCUUACUGGUCCAUUACUGACGCUGAGGUGCGAAAGCGUGGGGAGCAAACAGGAUUAGAAACCCCGGUAGUCC
Molecule: ribosomal RNA, 425 nt
Filed under: uncultured bacterium
Lineage: Bacteria
Description: partial 16S ribosomal RNA
Rfam family: Bacterial small subunit ribosomal RNA
Source: RNAcentral